This 723-nucleotide ribosomal RNA is filed under the name Salmonella enterica. RNAcentral describes it as "bacterial LSU rRNA". It matches the Rfam family "Bacterial large subunit ribosomal RNA", at positions 2211 to 2925 of the family's 2925-position model. RNAcentral also lists the same sequence under 8 other names. The record is from RNAcentral. Lineage: Bacteria; Pseudomonadati; Pseudomonadota; Gammaproteobacteria; Enterobacterales; Enterobacteriaceae.
UGUUUGAUGUUCUAACGUGGACCCGUGAUCCGGGUUGCGGACAGUGUCUGGUGGGUAGUUUGACUGGGGCGGUCUCCUCCUAAAGAGUAACGGAGGAGCACGAAGGUUGGCUAAUCCUGGUCGGACAUCAGGAGGUUAGUGCAAUGGCAUAAGCCAGCUUGACUGCGAGCGUGACGGCGCGAGCAGGUGCGAAAGCAGGUCAUAGUGAUCCGGUGGUUCUGAAUGGAAGGGCCAUCGCUCAACGGAUAAAAGGUACUCCGGGGAUAACAGGCUGAUACCGCCCAAGAGUUCAUAUCGACGGCGGUGUUUGGCACCUCGAUGUCGGCUCAUCACAUCCUGGGGCUGAAGUAGGUCCCAAGGGUAUGGCUGUUCGCCAUUUAAAGUGGUACGCGAGCUGGGUUUAGAACGUCGUGAGACAGUUCGGUCCCUAUCUGCCGUGGGCGCUGGAGAACUGAGGGGGGCUGCUCCUAGUACGAGAGGACCGGAGUGGACGCAUCACUGGUGUUCGGGUUGUCAUGCCAAUGGCACUGCCCGGUAGCUAAAUGCGGAAGAGAUAAGUGCUGAAAGCAUCUAAGCACGAAACUUGCCCCGAGAUGAGUUCUCCCUGAGACUUAGAGUCUCCUGAAGGAACGUUGAAGACGACGACGUUGAUAGGCCGGGUGUGUAAGCGCAGCGAUGCGUUGAGCUAACCGGUACUAAUGAACCGUGAGGCUUAACCUUACA